CCAACAUUAUAGGAUAACAAGCACAUUCGUAGGCCUUGGGUUCCAAAUGUUUUAUGGAGUCCGGGAUCCUAUAUUUCUCCUUAAGCUUACUUAGUUCAACGUAGGUUAUAAUAGAAGGAUUUAUUGAAGCCCCAACCUAUUUCAUAGUCGAUUGGACCUUCGCUCAUCAUCCAAUAACCUCCAUCCGACCCACCAGACAUAGCCUCGUCCCCAAACCCAGCAAUAGUUACCCUCCCACUUUUAGCACUGGACCCAGAAGCCAUUAAACUAACGGAAGAAAUGAAUGAUGGAAAAAAAGAGAAAAUACCUAAACAGGAAAGAAGCUCUAAGGGAGGUAACAUCACCGACGAAUAGAAGUGACCGAAAAAGCCUUGGAAUACUGGACAGAUUUGAAGAUUUUUGCAAAUGUAAAAAUCUGAUACAUUGGUAGGAUUUUAGCUUUUAUAAGCAAGGAAGACAAAGCUCAACCAUCAGAUCAAGACCUACAUCAUCUUAGCCAUCCAUUUUUGAGCCACAUCCNNNNCAUUGAAUUCAAAAGAUUUUUCUCAAUGUCUCUUUUUUAUACGUGUAUCUCACGCAAGAGACUUGUGUUUUUGGUAAACAAUCACCCGGGCCUAGUCACUGCGACCCUCUUUGUGAGGAGGCAUCCCUUCUCCCGAAGUUGUGGGACUAUUUUGUCGAGUUCCUUAGAGAGACCACAUUCUCCAUAGAGUCAUCUUAUCUUUUCCUUCUCUGAGUUCAAGUUAUGGAAGAAGGAACCGAGAAGAAGAUAUCAGAGCUUCAAUGUGCCGACCCCAAAUUGUUUCAUCACGGCUAUCAUUGUGCAAUCAAUAUGAAAUGGCCUAAUGUGUUUUGAAAGUCGUAACGAUUCAAUUGUUUUCCCUUGGGAAUAAAACAUCAAAUCAUUAGCAUAAUCACCAAACAAAUUUCAGCUAUCAACUAAAACGACCUUUAGCGGUUUAGCACUACCCUACUUUGAUUUACUAAACAAAUUUCAGAUAUCAAAAAAAGGAGCCUCGGCAGUUUAGCACUACCCUACUUCGGCUCAUCAAACAAAUUUCAGCUAUUAAAUAAAGGAGCCUCGACAGUUUAGCACUAUCCUACUUUGGCUCAUCAAAAUAGGUUCAAUAUUCGAACUCUAACUUUGAUAUCAAUAUCUACACUUGGACUCAAAAGACUACUGUGUUGUCAAAAAUCUAACCAUGAUAGGAAAAUCACUCAAAGAUAGAAGUCUACACAUGACAUGAAUGACCAUACAUGGACUUGGUGGAUUAUUAUUGUGCUUCACCACGUGAGAUGCCACCGAAUCCCUUUUGCCAAAGCCCUAUUAUGGCAGAACCACUAAAGCCGUUUGAUGUAGCCUAAUUAACGAAGCUGUGAUGUCCACAGUCCACACGGUUAAAUCUGAAGCCCCACGGUCCCUUUUGCUAAAGCUCUGAAUGAAUCUGGGCCAAAGCCUCACAUAGUCGAACCACCAAAGCUCUUUGACAUAGCAUAAUUGUCGAAGCUAUGAAGUCUACACGGUUGAAUCUGAAGCCCACUGUGACGUCCCCAUAGCUGAAACUCCUUGAUUCUCAGUAUCUUGAUUUAAAUGAUUGAUUUAAAUUUUGUAAUGAGAGAUAUGUCAAAGUCUUAUCAACAUAGGCUAUAGAGUGUAUGCUCCCUUUGAUAGUAUUAAAUGCGCCACAAGCUAGUAAAGCCAAAAUUAGAUAAG
This 1714-nucleotide long non-coding RNA is filed under the name Olea europaea subsp. europaea. Lineage: Eukaryota; Viridiplantae; Streptophyta; Magnoliopsida; Lamiales; Oleaceae. The record is from RNAcentral.